AAGUCGUAACAAGGUUUCCGUAGGUGAACCUGCGGAAGGAUCAUUAAUACGUUCUAAACAACGUUUUAAACCUUACAAAUUUGUGGAAAUUCUUAACAUUCCGGGUGCAUUUUAUUGGCAUGAGAAGGGACUUCUCGUUAUGAGACACUUCAGUGUAGAGCAGUGAGGUGAAAUCUGAGCUUGUUGAUGGCUUGGAUUUGGUUCUGGAUCAUGACUCUAUGAGUCAAAAUUCCAAAUGCAUUCGGUUAUUUCUGUUCUACAUUUUAUUCUAUCAAACUUAUAAACCCCAUGUACAACAACUUGAACUAAACAUCUCUUCGACUCUUCGGAGUUGAAGAACAAAUCUGAAAUUAAGAACAACUCUUAACAACGGAUAUCUUGGUUCUC
RNAcentral lists this unclassified non-coding RNA (387 nucleotides) under fungal sp. RNAcentral describes it as "partial internal transcribed spacer region". The stretch from base 1 to 46 matches the Rfam family "Eukaryotic small subunit ribosomal RNA", at positions 1786 to 1831 of the family's 1831-position model. Lineage: Eukaryota; Fungi. The record is from RNAcentral.